This is a long non-coding RNA of Lates calcarifer (barramundi perch), 281 nucleotides long. RefSeq lists it as uncharacterized. NCBI's taxonomy places the organism in Eukaryota, Metazoa, Chordata, Actinopteri, Centropomidae. The record is from RefSeq and is a predicted model, not a curated record. The transcript has 3 exons.
CUCAUAGUCAAAAGUUUUUAGUGCGUAAAGAUUACCGUUCUCUGGAUUGAUGGAGAACAGCAUGGACAUGGAGGUGUUGGCUAUCUCCUUCUCUAGGAUGAAAUAAACUAGAUACUGGUUUUCAUGGAGGUCAGGGUCAAAGGCUGUGAGUGAACUGAGCAAGGCCCCAGGUGCGUUAUUCUCCAUUACACGUAUAGUAUAAAAUGACUGAGGGAACUGUGGAACAUUGUCAUUAACAUCCAGCAGCUCUAACGUCAUAGUCUCAUUGUCAGAUAAAGGAG